CCUACGGGUGGCAGCAGUGGGGAAUAUUGGACAAUGGGCGAAAGCCUGAUCCAGCCAUGCCGCGUGUGUGAAGAAUGCCUUCGGGUUGUAAAGCACUUUCAGUGGGGAAGAAAGCCUUGGGGCUAAUACCCUCGAGGAAGGACAUCACCCACAGAAGAAGCACCGGCUAACUCCGUGCCAGCAGCCGCGGUAAUACGGAGGGUGCGAGCGUUAAUCGGAAUUACUGGGCGUAAAGCGCGCGUAGGCGGUCUGAUAAGCCGGUUGUGAAAGCCCCGGGCUCAACCUGGGAACGGCAUCCGGAACUGUCAGGCUAGAGUGCAGGAGAGGAAGGUAGAAUUCCCGGUGUAGCGGUGAAAUGCGUAGAGAUCGGGAGGAAUACCAGUGGCGAAGGCGGCCUUCUGGACUGACACUGACGCUGAGGUGCGAAAGCGUGGGUAGCAAACAGGAUUAGAUACCCGUGUAGUC
This 465-nucleotide ribosomal RNA is filed under the name Vreelandella stevensii. RNAcentral's name for it is "partial 16S ribosomal RNA". It matches the Rfam family "Bacterial small subunit ribosomal RNA", at positions 338 to 795 of the family's 1533-position model. Lineage: Bacteria; Pseudomonadati; Pseudomonadota; Gammaproteobacteria; Oceanospirillales; Halomonadaceae. The record is from RNAcentral.